RNAcentral lists this transfer RNA (84 nucleotides) under Candidatus Taylorbacteria bacterium RIFCSPHIGHO2_01_FULL_48_38. Its description in RNAcentral is "tRNA-Leu". It matches the Rfam family "tRNA". From Rfam's summary of the family: Transfer RNA (tRNA) molecules are approximately 80 nucleotides in length. Their secondary structure includes four short double-helical elements and three loops (D, anti-codon, and T loops). Lineage: Bacteria; Candidatus Tayloriibacteriota. RNAcentral also lists the same sequence under 4 other names. The record is from RNAcentral.
GCCGGAGUGGCGGAAUCGGCAGACGCACGGGACUCAAAAUCCCGCGAUGGCAACAUCAUGAGAGUUCGACUCUCUCCUCCGGCA